Molecule: long non-coding RNA, 1073 nt
Organism: Phyllostomus discolor (pale spear-nosed bat)
Lineage: Eukaryota; Metazoa; Chordata; Mammalia; Chiroptera; Phyllostomidae
Exons: 4
Source: RefSeq, a predicted model, not a curated record
CAAUAGUCACAUAGAUCUCAUGACUGGCAUUCUGGCUUUUUAAAACCAUCGUCCCCUUUGCUGUUACAGAGACCUGGAACCUGGAAGCCUGCGGGGAAUGGCUGGUAGCCGUUUUAUUAUUAUUUAUGAAUUCAUCAGAAAGGAAUAAUGACCUCUAAUUAAAGCCAGAAAAUUACUCCUGGAAUAAAUUGCUAAAGUCGGGAGAAACUGGGACAGGAGCAGGUGAAGUGAUUUGCUCGUGGUGCUGAAACAAGCCACCAUGGGAAAGACUGACAGACUCUGUGAUUUUCUAGGCUCGGCUCAGCGGGGUCACGCCACACCUGAAGUCUCUUCCCCUCAAUCCAGUCACGUGAUGAAGAUUAACAGAGAAUAGGGACGUGAAGUACUCGACAUAACGCGUGAUCUAUAGUACGCUCUCAGUGAGUGCUGGCUGCUAUUACGUAUUGCUCCACAUCUGCGAGCAUCGUCACACAGUGGUUAAAAAUCCUGUCCACCAAAGUGCGCAUAAAUGCUGCCCGGUGCCGAAGAGCUUUAAUAAAAUGCUCAAGGUCACAGAGCAAAUCCGAUGCAGAAUCACGGGUGGGACCAGCUGUUGUGAAUUUCGAGCCCAAAUCUCAUUUCUUUGUAUCAGACUGCCUCUCAAAGCCACAAGAGAUACUCUUAUCAAGGUUGUUUGGUGGGUGUUCCGUUCACGACAGCCGAUACCGUCAAAGGAUUCUUCAAAUGCCAGAAGUGUGCAGCGAGACAGUCUUCGCCUUUACGGACUCGUCCAGUGUUGGAAGCCGCAGCCACGCAGGCACAACCAGGACAUGCACAGCCACAGCCAGUGCUGGUUGUUACAAGUCUGCCUGCCUGGAAGUUACUCUGGGGCGGCAACCAUCAGUGCUGGCGUUCACUAAAACGACAGUGACAAAGACAACAAUGCCCACAACCCACCCGAAACAAACUCUAAAUGACCUGAAAGAUAGUCUGGCUCCUAGAGAAGGCAUAGAAAUAUAGUCCUAAGAAUCCAGCUCCAAAUAAUGGUAAUAUCGAAUGUGCUCCUUUUCCAACGCUAUCCUCCUCCUCCCCCC